UACAGAGGUGGCAAGCGUUGUUCGGAAUUACUGGGCGUAAAGGGCGCGUAGGCGGUUCGUUAAGUCCUGUGUGAAAUCCCCCGGCUCAACUGGGGAACUGCACAGGAAACUAGCGGGCUUGAGUUCGGGAGAGGGAAGCGGAAUUCCGGGUGUAGCGGUGAAAUGCGUAGAUAUCUGGAGGAACACCGGUGGCGAAGGCGGCAUCCUGGACCGGCAUUGACGCUGAGGCGCGAAAGCCAGGGGAGCAAACGGG
RNAcentral lists this ribosomal RNA (253 nucleotides) under uncultured bacterium. RNAcentral's name for it is "partial 16S ribosomal RNA". It matches the Rfam family "Bacterial small subunit ribosomal RNA", at positions 524 to 776 of the family's 1533-position model. The record is from RNAcentral.